AACGAACGCUGGCGGCAGGCUUAACACAUGCAAGUCGAGCGAUGAAACACCUUCGGGUGCGGAUUAGCGGCGAACGGGGGAGGAACACGUGAGGAAUCUGCCUUCCACUCUGGGAUAACUCCGGGAAACCGGGGCUAAUACCGGAUACUUUCAACUGGCGGCAUCGCCGGUUGAAGAAAGUUUUUCGGUGGAAGAUGACCUCGCGGCCUAUCAGCUUGUUGGUGAGGUAAAGGCUCGCCAAGGCGACGACGGGUAGCCGGCCUGAGAGGGCGACCGGCCACACUGGGACUGAGACACGGCCCAGACUCCUACGGGAGGCAGCAGUGGGGAAUAUUGGACAAUGGGGGCAACCCUGAUCCAACCAUGCCGCGUGAGUGAUGAAGGCCUUAGGGUUGUAAAGCUCUUUUACCCGGGACGAUAAUGACUGUACCGGGAGAAUAAGCCCCGGCUAACUACGUGCCAGCAGCCGCGGUAA
This 475-nucleotide ribosomal RNA is filed under the name uncultured bacterium. RNAcentral's name for it is "partial 16S ribosomal RNA". It matches the Rfam family "Bacterial small subunit ribosomal RNA", at positions 29 to 523 of the family's 1533-position model. The record is from RNAcentral.